CUCUAAAUGACGUAAUUUACACUUUUGAUGACAGCAGUAGUCACAACAUGGAGAUUUAUUGUGAAACAGUACCUCCCUGGAAUAUUUUGUUAAACUUUUGUAGUACUGUGGAUAUAAUUUCAGUCUUCUGAUCCUGAGUUCGAGUAUAGCGGGGAAUUCGGUUUUGUCGAAAGGCAAUAUUUUUUAAAGGUUAGCUUUACCCCAAAUUGAAUUGUUCGCCGUUUUCAAGCCGAACACAUUUCAUAUCAAUAAAAUACCGGUAAAUGUUUAUGCCAAACUUUUCCUAACGGCGUGGAAGAUCCUUCAGUUGAACAUAAUUGCACAGGUGAGCGACGUGGUCCAUAGGCUUAUUAAAGAUUCGCUCUAUUAAAGACUAAAUUUAUUCAGAAUUUUAUGAAUUGGAAAUCAAUCAUUCAAAGAUGAGAUUGGUAACCGGUUUGCCAUAUUGCUUCUCAAACACUUCUUGUUUCAAAUACACAUUUAUAAUCGAGAUGGCAUGAAUUAAAAAGCUCACAGCCUUUGAAGACAAGAUAUAAAGCAAACAGGUUUAAGACGAUUAAACCUGGUACUGAUUUAUUAAAGGUUCAUACUAGUGGGGCCACUCUGUUUAACAAAUAAAUUUUGCAGAAAGUCAUUUGGCAAUGUUUAAUUCUAUGUUAACAAUCAAACUAUUUUUAGUCUUCAAAUCAAGUAGUUCACUAUAUAUUGGUAAAUUAGCAAAAAAAGUGAACAUUGUCUUGGAAUAUGGAAGUUUGCGAAGCAAAGAAUUUAAUCCUAAAAAAUUAAUUUUUGGUAAGAAAGAAAAUUAUAAUCUUAACCCUCUCGACUCGCCACUGAACAUAUGCACCACAAAACCGGUUAGACAUCAAUAUUUUGACAUCCGGUAUCAUCGUUCACUUUUCUAGAGGUAGUGCUUCAGAUAAGAUAUUAGGAACGUGGUUAAAAAGUGUGCAAUCGGACGGACUGAUAUAUCUGUUUGAAGGUGUUCCUCGAUCACUGUACCUUUCAUCGGUACAUUUAUUUUUAUUAAUGAUAUCUGCAACUUGAUGCAACAAAGCCAAUUUCAAAAGACAUGAUUUUAAGAAGAUUAUUGCACACACAAAAAUAAAUGUAAGUACAUGU
Magallana angulata is the source of this 1122-nucleotide long non-coding RNA. RefSeq lists it as uncharacterized. The record is from RefSeq and is a predicted model, not a curated record. The transcript is spliced from 4 exons. NCBI's taxonomy places the organism in Eukaryota, Metazoa, Mollusca, Bivalvia, Ostreida, Ostreidae.